UUGACCUCGGAUCAGGUAGGAAUACCCGCUGAACUUAAGCAUAUCAA
Molecule: ribosomal RNA, 47 nt
Filed under: Fusarium oxysporum
Lineage: Eukaryota; Fungi; Ascomycota; Sordariomycetes; Hypocreales; Nectriaceae
Also listed under: 54 other names
Description: partial 28S ribosomal RNA
Source: RNAcentral